AUUGAACGCUGGCGGCAGGCCUAACACAUGCAAGUCGAACGAGUGGCGGACGGGUGAGUAAUGUCUGGGAAACUGCCUGAUGGAGGGGGAUAACUACUGGAAACGGUAGCUAAUACCGCAUACCAUCGGAUGUGCCCAGAUGGGAUUAGCUAGUAGGUGGGGUAAAGGCUCACCUAGGCGACGAUCCCUAGCUGGUCUGAGAGGAUGACCAGCCACACUGGGACUGAUACACGGUAGAGACUCCUUUGGGAGGCAGCAGUGGGGAAUGUUGCACAAUGGGCGCAAGCCUGAUACAGCCAUGCCGCGUGUAUGUAGAAGGCCUUCGGGUUGUAAAGUACUUUCAGCGGAGAGGCGUUACCCGCAGAGGAAGCACCGGCUAACUCCGUGCCAGCAGCCGCGGUAAUUC
This 406-nucleotide ribosomal RNA is filed under the name uncultured bacterium. Its description in RNAcentral is "partial 16S ribosomal RNA". It matches the Rfam family "Bacterial small subunit ribosomal RNA", at positions 30 to 526 of the family's 1533-position model. The record is from RNAcentral.